RNAcentral lists this ribosomal RNA (433 nucleotides) under uncultured bacterium. RNAcentral describes it as "partial 16S ribosomal RNA". It matches the Rfam family "Bacterial small subunit ribosomal RNA", at positions 29 to 507 of the family's 1533-position model. The record is from RNAcentral.
AGCGAACGCUGGCGGCAGGCCUAACACAUGCAAGUCGAGCGAACUCUUCGGAGUUAGUGGCGGACGGGUGAGUAACACGUGGGAACGUGCCUUUUGGUUCGGAAUAACUCAGGGAAACUUGUGCUAAUACCGAAUGUGCCCUUCGGGGGAAAGAUUUAUCGCCAUUAGAGCGGCCCGCGUCUGAUUAGCUAGUUGGUGAGGUAACGGCUCACCAAGGCGACGAUCAGUAGCUGGUCUGAGAGGAUGACCAGCCACACUGGGACUGAGACACGGCCCAGACUCCUACGGGAAGCAGCAGUGGGGAAUCUUGCGCAAUGGGCGAAAGCCUGACGCAGCCAUGCCGCGUGAAUGAUGAAGGUCUUAGGAUUGUAAAAUUCUUUCACCGGGGACGAUAAUGACGGUACCCGGAGAAGAAGCCCCGGCUAACUUCGUG